RNAcentral lists this ribosomal RNA (208 nucleotides) under uncultured bacterium. Its description in RNAcentral is "partial 16S ribosomal RNA". It matches the Rfam family "Bacterial small subunit ribosomal RNA", at positions 568 to 774 of the family's 1533-position model. The record is from RNAcentral.
CGCGCAGGCGGCCAAGUCAGUCGAAUGUGAAAGCCCCCCGGCUCAACUGGGGAAGGUCGUUCGAUACUGCUUGGCUCGAAGAUAGGAGAGGGAAGUGGAAUUUCAGGUGUAGUGGUGAAAUGCGUAGAUAUCUGAAGGAACACCAGUGGCGAAGGCGACUUUCUGGCCUAUUCUUGACGCUGAGGCGCGAAAGCUAGGGGAGCGAACG